Phalaenopsis equestris is the source of this 2647-nucleotide RNA transcript. It is a transcript of the gene named dnaJ homolog subfamily C member 2-like, with no coding region annotated. Lineage: Eukaryota; Viridiplantae; Streptophyta; Magnoliopsida; Asparagales; Orchidaceae. The transcript has 3 exons. The record is from RefSeq and is a predicted model, not a curated record.
CAAAUUCCCGAAACCCUCGCCGACAAAGACCAGGGGAGGUUGCUAGAUAGCCAUCGACGGGAUCGCAGCUCUCCGAAACCCAAGUCUUAAUACCACUUUAGCUCCUACGAAACCCUCGAGGAUAAAGGAGUUGGCGACGUGCGUUUGCGGGGCGAAGGCAUCUACAGAAAACUCGGCAUCAGAAGUUCCUUAUAAAAGUUCCCGUCUCCAAGAAGCACAAUGGUCUCUUCUACCUUCUUCAUCAUGAAUGGCAUGAAGAACCCUCCGCUUAUCACCUAUUCAGAAGAGCUUCGAGAUGGCGAGCCAAUGAUUUCCUCAUCAAAUUGCCUUCCUGUCAAAGCCUUAAAAUACGAACCUGCAGGCCAUGCAUUUCAUUCGGCCGCACUUAAACUUCUCGGAUACUAUGAAGAAGACGAAACAGACACAGAUGAACAGAGCGUAUUGUCCGAUGACCGAAAUCAAUCAUAUAUGCCGUCGUCAGAUUUCUACAGCAACAAAGCGAAAAAGAAGAAAUCUGGUUCCGGUGACAAGCAACAAGAUCAUUAUGCACUGUUAGGGUUAGGGCAUUUGCGUUUUCUAGCCACCGAGGAGCAGAUACGUAAAUGUUACCGCGAGACUGCCUUGAAAUAUCACCCCGAUAAGCAGGCUGCUCUUCUUCUGGCCGAAGAAACAGACGCCGCCAAACAAGCGAAGAAGGAUGAGAUCGAAAACCAUUUCAAAUCCGUUCAAGAAGCAUAUGAGAUUCUAAUAGAUCCUAUAAAGAGAAGGAUCUAUGACUCCACGGAUGAGUUCGAUGAUGAAAUUCCCACCGAAUGCGAACCACAGGACUUCUUCAAGGUAUUCGGCCUAGCAUUCUUGAGGAAUGCGAGGUGGUCUGUAAUUCAGCCUGUUCCCUCUUUAGGGGAAGAGAAAACUGUAAUGGCUGAAGUGGACAGCUUCUACAACUUCUGGUAUGGUUUUAAGAGUUGGAGAGAGUUCCCUCAUGCAGAUGAGUUCGAUCUGGAGCAGGCCGAGUCCCGUGAUCAUAAACGAUGGAUGGAGAGGCAGAAUGCGAAGCUUAGAGAGAAAGCGAAGAAAGAAGAAUAUGGACGUAUUCGGGCUCUGGUUGACAACGCAUAUAAGCGGGACCCUAGAAUUCUUCGGAGAAAGGAGGAGGAAAAGAUCGAAAAGCAAAGGAAAAAGGAGGCGAAGUUGCUGGCGAGGAAAUUGCAGGAGGAAGAGGCUGCGAGGGCUGCCGAAGAAGAAAGACGCUGGAAAGAAGAGGAGGAGAAAAGAGCAGCUGAAGCUGCUUUGAAUCAGAAGAAGCAGAAAGAGAAGGAGAAGAAGCUUCUAAGGAAGGAGAGGAAUCGGUUACGUGGUCUUUCUUCAACUUUGGUUUCCAAAUCUCUGCUUAAUCUUUCCGAAGAAAAUGUCGAAAGCUUAUGCUUGUCUCUAGAGAUGGAUCAGAUUCGAAAUCUGUGCGAUAGCUUGGAGCGGAAGGAAGGAGUUGAAAGAGCUCAUUUGUUAAAUAGCGCAUUGAGUAAAGCGAAUGCCGAUGCCGCACAGCCAGAUCGAAAAUAUGAUCAAACUAAUGGCUCUUCAGUUCAUGAUGCUGGAGAAAUCAAGCCUGGAAGCAUAUUAUGCAGCGAGAAGAAGGAAAAACCAUGGGAUAAGGAGGAACUUGAGUUGCUGAGAAAGGGGGUGCAGAAAUACCCCAAGGGAACUUCGAGGAGGUGGGAGGUCAUUUCCGAAUACAUUGGAACUGGCAGAUCCGUCGAAGAGAUUCUGAAGGCGACGAAGACGGUUCUUCUGCAGAAACCAAACUCCGCGAAUUCAUUCGGUACUUUCCUGGAGAAGAGAAAGCCCGCUCCAUCAAUCUCAUCACCUCUUACGACUCGAUUAGAAUCCGAAGGGUUACCUGUCGAUGUAGCCGGAGAACCUUCAGCAAAGGAGACGAAUCUCGACGAGCCAGCCAGAGAAUCUCCUGUUUCUAAUGGAGCUUCUUCAGGUAUGGAGGAUACAUGGUCGUCAACGCAAGAAAGAGCUCUCAUACAAGCACUGAAAACAUUUCCGAAGGAGACCGGCCAGCGUUGGGAACGGGUCGCCACCGCAGUUCCGGGGAAGACAGUGAAUCAAUGCAAGAAGAAGUUUGCUUCGAUGAAGGAGAGCUUCAGAAGCAAGAAGGGCGCAGAUUGAUGGAGGAUAUAUAGGCAUGAAGAGCAAUGUUUUCUUUCAACUUGCAGCAACAGCAGCCACGAGUGACGAUGCCCCAAACAAAUAUUUGCUUCGUGUUUCCUUCGGGAGGCUAAAGGACUGAUGGAGCGAUACUGCCUAGAAGGUGAAAGGAAGAAGAAAAUUGUUAUUAAGAAGAAAAAAAUGGUUGCGUUGGAGGAUUAUGUAGGAUAUGAUUCCUUCCCAUGCACUAAACGGAGGAAUGUUCAAGGCGACCAAAAAUCUUCGGCUCAAUCUUCUGUUGCGGCACAUGACCCACAAAUCAAACGAACCGCACAAGAAGUUGUCGGUGCUCUGUUGUCGUAUUGUGAGAGUGACUCUUUGUUAUUAGGAACUCGUGUCUUAUUUGUUAGAUUUUGAUUUUUUCGAAAGUUUUUUUUUUGUUUUUUAUUUUUUUUUACAUUAUCUCUUUGUGCAAGACUGUCGAUGACCCGAC